RNAcentral lists this ribosomal RNA (253 nucleotides) under uncultured bacterium. RNAcentral describes it as "partial 16S ribosomal RNA". It matches the Rfam family "Bacterial small subunit ribosomal RNA", at positions 524 to 776 of the family's 1533-position model. The record is from RNAcentral.
UACGGGGGGGGCAAGCGUUGUUCGGAAUUACUGGGCGUAAAGGGUUUGUAGGUGGUCUGCUAAGUCAGACGUGAAAUCCCUCAGCUUAACUGGGGAACUGCGUCUGAUACUGGCGGACUUGAGGACAGGAGAGGAACGCGGAAUUCCAGGCGUAGCGGUGAAAUGCGUAGAUAUCUGGAGGAACACCGGUGGCGAAGGCGGCGUUCUGGACUGUUUCUGACACUGAAAAACGAAAGCCAGGGGAGCAAACGGG